CAUUUCUAGCGUUUUCUGUUUCACAAGAUUCUCACUAGUUCUCCGUUUCUUGAAUCUUCCUCCUUCAAGCCGAUCAAAGGGAUGAGUGGUUCACAAUCACAAGGCAGUGCGUGUUCCUUGAACCAGCCAAGCAAAGAUGUGGCUGUGACUGAGACAAAACCAAAGAAGAAGAUAUGCUGUGCUUGCCCUGAUAUUAAGAAGCUAAGAGAUGAGUGCAUUGUAGAACACGGUGAAUCAGCUUGCACUAAAUGGAUCGAAGCUCAUCUUAUCUGUCUUCGAUCCGAGGGUUUUAAAGUUUGAGAAUGUUAAAAUACGAAUUUCAUGGAGUAAAAAUCCAAAUGAAGUGAUUAGUGACAUAGAUUGUUGAUUUUUUUCAUGUUUUUUGAAAUUUACACAACACAACACUGUUGUCAACAACCGUCAUGUAAAAACAGAGCAAACCAAAAAGGUUAUAAUUGACAAAAACUCUAUAUA
Molecule: RNA transcript, 474 nt
Organism: Eutrema salsugineum
Lineage: Eukaryota; Viridiplantae; Streptophyta; Magnoliopsida; Brassicales; Brassicaceae
Gene name: cytochrome c oxidase copper chaperone 2
Exons: 2
Source: RefSeq, a predicted model, not a curated record